GGCUGAAGUUAGAGGUCCUGCCUGCCCCGUGACAUUAAGUUUAACGGCCGCGGUAUUAUGACCGUGCAAAGGUAGCGUAAUCACNUUGUCUUUUUAAAUAAAGACCAGUAUGAAGCAAGACGAAAGUUCAACUGUCUCCCUAAAUUAAUCAGUGAAAUUGAUUUCUCCGUGCAGAAGCGGAGAUAUAAUUAUAAGACGAGAAGACCCUAUGGAGCUUUAAACAUAUAAUCAAUUGUAUUUCAUAAAAUCCGAAAGAUAAAAUAUAAAAUAAAACAAUAUGAUUAAAAUUUUAGGUUGGGGCGACCACGGAGAAAAACAAAACCUCCGAGAUGAAAAGAAUAUCUUAAUUUAAGAACCACAAUUCCAAAAAAUAAAAUAUUUAACAUAAUUGAUCCAAUAUUUUGAUCAACGAACCAAGUUACCCUAGGGAUAACAGCGCAAUCCUCUCCAAGAGUCCCUAUCGACGAGUGGGUUUACGACCUCGAUGUUGGAUCAGGACACCCCAAUGGUGCAGCCGCUAUUAAAGGUUCGUUUGUUCAACGAUUAAAGUCCUACGUGAUCGAU
This 564-nucleotide ribosomal RNA is filed under the name Hynobius leechii (Gensan salamander). RNAcentral describes it as "partial 16S ribosomal RNA". It matches the Rfam family "Bacterial large subunit ribosomal RNA", at positions 1836 to 2609 of the family's 2925-position model. Lineage: Eukaryota; Metazoa; Chordata; Amphibia; Caudata; Hynobiidae. The record is from RNAcentral.